GAGGUUGUAGCUCUGUGGUAGAGCACUUACCUAACAUGUGUGAGGCACUGGGUUCGAUUCUCAGCACCGCA
This 71-nucleotide transfer RNA is filed under the name Marmota marmota marmota (Alpine marmot). It matches the Rfam family "tRNA". Rfam says of the family: Transfer RNA (tRNA) molecules are approximately 80 nucleotides in length. Their secondary structure includes four short double-helical elements and three loops (D, anti-codon, and T loops). The record is from Rfam by way of RNAcentral. RNAcentral also lists the same sequence under 1 other name. Lineage: Eukaryota; Metazoa; Chordata; Mammalia; Rodentia; Sciuridae.